AUGUGUUUUCCCCCCUUUGUUAGAGAGAGAGAGUGCGGGUAUGCUAGCAUUGGAAGGAUCCAAAAAGUUGGAGAAGGCACGACAAUCGGACUCACAGGAAGGUGUAAAGAAUGAGAGAGGAAGCGAAUUAUCAGAUCGUUCGUUUUAAGGUCAUACAAAUCUAGUAUAUGGAUGAUGAUGCUGACCAUAUAACUCGCUCAUCCGUGUUUAAGAAGCCAUGAACAAUAUUAAAGACACUCGGCUAUUAUCAUUGAACAAGUAUUCAAAAUUAUUUUUUUUGUAAGAUUUUAGUGCAAUAAUGUAAAAGCUUUGUAGACGAUGAUGGUUCAAAAUUGACUCUUAAGUUGUCCAAUUUUUUGAAAGAUAUAGUAAUAACAAUUACAAUUGCACUUCAUUUAGGAAUGUUAGCUAGAAGUUUGUUGUAUAUUUUGAUAUUUUAUGGCAGGAUAUUAGAUUAGAUUUGAGUAUCUGCAUAAUAAAGAUGGCUUGGUGAUUUGAGUA
Molecule: long non-coding RNA, 501 nt
Organism: Carya illinoinensis
Lineage: Eukaryota; Viridiplantae; Streptophyta; Magnoliopsida; Fagales; Juglandaceae
Exons: 2
Source: RefSeq, a predicted model, not a curated record